Pelobates cultripes (western spadefoot toad) is the source of this 222-nucleotide non-coding RNA. The record is from the annotation of a GenBank genome assembly. NCBI's taxonomy places the organism in Eukaryota, Metazoa, Chordata, Amphibia, Anura, Pelobatidae.
CCUGGAUAGCCCUGAUCUAGGUGAACAAUGUAACGGACCGUUUUGCACAAAAGGGGUAAAAUCCGUUUAGGCGAUCGGCCCCCUUUCCAGAGAUACAGGCACAGCUACUGCAGAACACCAAACACACGAACCGCCAAUAAGUGAAUGCUCCAAACACCCGAACUGCAUACAAGGGAAUGCUCCAAACACCCGAACUACAUACAAGGGAAUGCUCCAAACACC